UGGAACAGUGAAGUCUAGUGGUAACCACAAUCCUUAGGAGUGCCUCUCCCUAGAACCCAGACACCAUGCUGAAUUGGUAUUCAGCUCCAUGCCUUGGUUUUUACUGUCACAGAAAGCAGUAACCACAUACAAAGGAAGCUGAAUUGCUAGGAAAUGGCAUGACAUGAAAACAAAAGACAUCAACUGAGACUUAAAUUCCACAGUUCUGGGAGAAGGACUGGCUCUCAAUCCACUGAGCCACUUAACUGUCCCCAAUGGACUCCACAUUUUAAGAACAUUGACACACUGGACUGGGUACCAAAGAAAAUUAAGAAGAUGAUGGGAGGACCAGAGUCAGAGCCAAGGAUAACUCAAAAUGAGAAAGCUGAGGUCAAUGGAAGUUAA
RNAcentral lists this long non-coding RNA (384 nucleotides) under Monodelphis domestica (gray short-tailed opossum). RNAcentral describes it as "lncRNA (ENSMODG00000033868.2)". Lineage: Eukaryota; Metazoa; Chordata; Mammalia; Didelphimorphia; Didelphidae. The record is from RNAcentral.